This is a small nuclear RNA of Monodelphis domestica (gray short-tailed opossum), 193 nucleotides long. RefSeq annotates it as U2 spliceosomal RNA. Lineage: Eukaryota; Metazoa; Chordata; Mammalia; Didelphimorphia; Didelphidae. The record is from RefSeq and is a predicted model, not a curated record.
AUUGCUUCUUGGCCUUUUGGCUAAGAUCAAGUGUAGUAUCUUAGUGUCAUUACACGAAAAGCAUCAGGAGAGGUACAAACCAGAGAUUGUCUUUAGAUGGGUCAUCAUCCAAUGUUUCUGGCUGUAUACCUUGUCAGAUUUCCUCUACUCAUUUGGUCUAGACUUACAACUUUAUUAGAGAAAUGAAAAGUUC